AGCACUAUAUCUAGUAUUCCAAUCAGAAGUACUGUCUUUUUGAGGUAAAGGAUGUUAUUUUCUUCUUAAAUGAUAUUAUUUUCUUCAAUAUCAUUAUGCCGAAAUAUUGGUGAACUUUUUAAUCAAAUUUGAAACUUUUUGUGUCGGGGUUACUAUUCACGUAUACAGUACUAUUCACGAAUACGGCACUAUUCACCGAAAAAUAAAAUUUUUUCUUUUUGUCCAAGAUGUCUAUUAUGGUUACUAUCUUUGAUUGUAUCCAUGUUUUGAUCGUUAUUUUUGAAUUCUGCUUCACAAUUGGUUAUUAUGAAGUAUUAUUGAUCUUGGAUAAACUGUUAUACGAAUCCCUAAUAUUUGUCCUUCUGUCUCACUGGAUUCGUUUUCUUUAAAAUAUUUUUCAUCAUCCUCAGUCCUAAAUGAUGAUAUUACUGAAUAUCUUUGGCCUGUAGUGCAAAGAUGAAUGAUUAACUGAUGAAUAUCUUUGGCCCGUAGUGCAAAGAUGAACAGGUGUUGAGAUGAACAUGACCAACUGGUGAUACAAAUGAAUAUCUUUGGCCUGUAGUGCAAAGAUGAAUAUUUGAUUAAAGAUGUAUAUUGAUUGAUGUUACAGGGAUAAAAUAUUGAUGAUGGACUUUUAAAUCUUAGAAGAUAGUAGAAUUCAUUCUCUACGUGACUCUUCUAAUGGAUUGUUGUUUCCGCUGCAUUUGUUGAUCUAAAACUUGUUGUCUAUUAUAUUCUAUCAGAUUUUUCCCUGUUGAAGACUAAUGAUAAUUUGUUGUAUAUUAUCUUAGUUAUAAUAUUCUUUACUGGGCUAGUUGAGCUCACCCUUUUUUUUUGUUCCAUUUUUUUUCUCAGGAGGUGAGAACAUAGCAGGAUCGAGUUGAGGUAUGGAGUAAUGGUUCUAGAAAGAUGUUUUAGCAGUUCUCACUAUUUCUGUAAAAUAAUGUAUGAAUAAUUGUAAUGAGGACUUAUUUGAGUGUUGAUAUUGUCUAGAAGACAAUAUUUAUAUUUAAACUCAC
Molecule: long non-coding RNA, 1019 nt
Filed under: Panax ginseng (ginseng)
Lineage: Eukaryota; Viridiplantae; Streptophyta; Magnoliopsida; Apiales; Araliaceae
Description: long non-coding RNA (PGIN_LNC018812)
Source: RNAcentral